Molecule: unclassified non-coding RNA, 225 nt
Filed under: Fusarium solani
Lineage: Eukaryota; Fungi; Ascomycota; Sordariomycetes; Hypocreales; Nectriaceae
Description: partial internal transcribed spacer region
Rfam family: Eukaryotic small subunit ribosomal RNA (bases 1-46)
Source: RNAcentral
AAGUCGUAACAAGGUCUCCGUUGGUGAACCAGCGGAGGGAUCAUUACCGAGUUAUACAACUCAUCAACCCCUGUGAACUUACCUAUAACGUUGCUUCGGCGGGAACAGACGGCCCCGUAAAACGGGCCGCCCCCGCCAGAGGACCCCUAACUCUGUUUUUGUAAUGUUUUUCUGAGUAAACAAGCAAAUAAAUUAAAACUUUCAACAACGGAUCUCUUGGCUCUG